GUUAGGAAUAUUGGACAAUGGGCGCAAGCCUGAUCCAGCCAUGCCGCGUGAACGAUGAAGGCCUUCGGGUUGUAAAGUUCUUUAGCCGAUGAUUAUAAUGACUGUAGUCGGAAAAUAAGCCCCGGCUAACUUCGUGCCAGCAGCCGCGGUAAUACGAAGGGGGCGAGCGUUAUUCGGAAUCACUGGGCGUAAAGCGUGCGUAGGCGGUCUCGUAAGUUAGGAGUGAAAGCCCAGGGCUCAACCUUGGAAUUGCUCUUAAAACUGCAAGGCUAGAAUCUCGGAGAGGAUAGCGGAAUUUCCAGUGUAGCAGUGAAAUGCGUAGAUAUUGGAAGGAACACCAGUGGCGUAAGCGGCUAUCUGGACGAGUAUUGACGCUGAGGCACGAAAGCGUGGGGAUCAAACAGGAUUAGAUACCUGAGUAGUCC
RNAcentral lists this ribosomal RNA (425 nucleotides) under uncultured bacterium. RNAcentral describes it as "partial 16S ribosomal RNA". It matches the Rfam family "Bacterial small subunit ribosomal RNA", at positions 354 to 796 of the family's 1533-position model. The record is from RNAcentral.